CCUCCACUUAAAAGGUUUAAGGACCCCUGUACUAGAGAGAUGUGAGCCACUUUGGGGUAUCAAAGUCAUGAGGAGGCCUGGAGCUCCAUGCUAGGAAACAGCCACAAAGGCAGCUUGCCUGGGAGGUUGGGUGGGCAAGUGAGCACAGCAUUAUCUGUUCAUCUGUACAAGGACUUGUCACAAUCGGAAAGCAGUCCUCUGUUUGAUCUGCCCUGGAGGGGAAGCCAGGCCCUGGGCUUUGGUUUACACAAGCAAAUGCAUUGCACCCCAAGGCUGUGAGCACACAGAACUGGUCUCCAAUGAAACACGACAAAAAGCUGCUGAGGUGUGGAGGAGAGUGCAGUUCCUGCAAAGAUACACCUGUCCCACCUUCAUCUCUCCGGCCUCUGCUUCUUCUUCCUCCUCCUCUUCCUCCGUAAUGCCUUCCAAGGGAGCCACCCAGGGACCCGAAUCGAUGGCAUUGGAGCAGAAAAGCUCCAACUGUGGAGGAUGAAGAAAGAGGAGCCAUUGGUCAGAAGGACUCUCCUGGGAGCCAAAGGAGGCCAGUUGGGUUUCCGAGGCUUUGCCCUGCAUUUGAGGCAAAAUGCACGAUCAGCAGCCCUUCUGCAAUUUACCAAUAGACAGACAUUACAGCCUGGUUUGUUCAAUAAAAUAUACAUUGUGUUUGUCUUUUGAUUUAU
Anolis carolinensis (green anole) is the source of this 680-nucleotide long non-coding RNA. RefSeq lists it as uncharacterized. The record is from RefSeq and is a predicted model, not a curated record. The transcript is spliced from 3 exons. Lineage: Eukaryota; Metazoa; Chordata; Lepidosauria; Squamata; Anolidae.